Mya arenaria is the source of this 1383-nucleotide long non-coding RNA. RefSeq lists it as uncharacterized. Lineage: Eukaryota; Metazoa; Mollusca; Bivalvia; Myida; Myidae. The record is from RefSeq and is a predicted model, not a curated record. The transcript has 6 exons.
CGCCCGUGCUAACAGUUCCCGAAAACCUCGUUGGAGAAAGCUCGAAGGCAGUAUGUGAAGUGCGCAAUGCUAUCCCAGCUCCGACAAUAACAAUACACGUUGUCUCGCUAGCUGUGGUUCAACAAACGGAUUCAUUCAAUACAUCUUCUUAUACUUUUACAAGUCAAGCAAAGGCGACAAAGACUAAUCAAUGGUGGAAUGGAAAUGAAAUGUGUUGCAAAGGGCAAUGGAAAAGGUGUUUUGGUUUAAAAGCUAUGUCAACUUGCAAAAAUAUCAGUAUGAAAUUUCCGCCGUCGAACCUUUCAAUAUCCGUAAACAAAAUACACGACUAUAACAACAAUGUUUCUUUUUAUUUCCUUAACAUGUCUUGUGAAAGCAAUGAAUCAAAUCCGCCUUGCACAAUUGAAUGGUCAAGCGACAACGAUAAUUUAAGAUACGUUAAAAUCAACAAUUGGACAAAUGGUGAAAAUGGGAGUUACCGUUCUGUGUCCAACGCGCUUUACAAUGUCACUAAAAACAUGGCUGGGGGAACAAUUACAUGUGCAACAAAUUGUGCCAAUUUCCCAUUGCAUUUAUAUAAAGACUAUAAAAUAACUUUUUCAGGUAUUUUAUCAACAUGUAUCUGUGAUUAGAUUGAAGAUAUCUUACAAUGUAUAAGGAUCUAUUGUUUUCUAUCAGGUGUGAUAGCUAGUUUCUCAAGAAUUGCUACACAACAUUUCAGAUUGUCCAACUCUUAAUUUGAACACGACAUCACCUGUGAAUUUAUGUCCGAAAACUACAUUGACAGUACAUUGUCUUGUUGAUGGCUGCAAUACUAAAGAGCAAUGGACGCUCCGCUGGGAAUAUGAAAUAGCACUGUUAUAAAGUAUUGUAAUAAAACAGGGGAAUGCCUGUUAAGACUCAAUUAUACAGGAGAAGUGGAAAAUACUUACACUUACACAGCUUGGAAAUCAGAAGGGUAUCUGAUAAAUUCCUUGAUCGUUUUAAGCUCAAGGACAUAUGGUUUGUAUUUAUCAGUUGUUCAUCUAUUGUAUUUGUAAUAAAUUAAAUGUCGCCGAGUGUUUUUAUGAUAUGAUAAAUAUUAUUGCAGGAAAGCAAUGCCAGGACAAUGACAUUCAGCAAUUUUCUUCAAUAUACCGAUUUCCUGUCAGUAAUCUUCUCAUUGGAACAGGUGUUUUCUGUGUACUCUGCAUCGUGCUUGCAAUUGGAAGAUGUAUAUUUCUUAAACGGCGAAAGGUCCGCGCAAUCAUCACAAAUGAAAUUGUUCAAAAUCACAGCGAAACAGACACCUCGGCGGACAAUGACGUGGUACACGUAACAACGCAAGGUGUCCAGUAUGCAGUCGUACAGAGGCAGCCUGCCCCACAGAGGAUUGGAACACAG